AGGUCAUUUCAAAGAGGGCUUGUGGGACUAAAACCAAGAGCUCUUAACGCUGUGACCAAAUAUUGGAGUUCUCCAUAGGAUGUAAUAGUUACUCAAUAGUGCUAUGUUUUUUCCUGAGGAGAUACAGGA
Molecule: non-coding RNA, 129 nt
Organism: Canis lupus familiaris (dog)
Lineage: Eukaryota; Metazoa; Chordata; Mammalia; Carnivora; Canidae
Source: Rfam